Molecule: unclassified non-coding RNA, 344 nt
Filed under: Hevea brasiliensis (rubber tree)
Lineage: Eukaryota; Viridiplantae; Streptophyta; Magnoliopsida; Malpighiales; Euphorbiaceae
Source: RNAcentral
UGGAAUUAGGUUAGACUCUGGUGAUCUAGCAUAUUUAUCUAUUGAGUGCCGGAAGUUCUUUUGUUCAGUAGAAAGGGAAUUCAAUGUACCUGGUUUCGGAAAAACAAUUAUUACAGCUAGCAAUGAUCUCAAUGAGGAAACACUUGACCACUUGAACAAGCAGGGACAUGAGGUAGAUUCUUUUGGAAUUGGCACUUAUCUCGUGACAUGCUAUACUCAAGCAGCUCUUGGUUGUGUAUUCAAACUUGUUGAGAUAAAUAAUCAGCCACGCAUGAAGCUGUCUGAAGAUGUUUCAAAGGUCUCGAUACCAUGCCGAAAACAAUCGUACAGACUGUAUGGAAAAG